This 301-nucleotide ribosomal RNA is filed under the name uncultured bacterium. RNAcentral describes it as "partial 16S ribosomal RNA". It matches the Rfam family "Bacterial small subunit ribosomal RNA", at positions 509 to 807 of the family's 1533-position model. The record is from RNAcentral.
CAGUCGCCGCGGGAAUACGUAGGGUGCGAGCGUUAAUCGGAAUUACUGGGCGUAACGCGUGCGCAGGCGGUUGUGUAAGACAGGUGUGAAAUCCCCGGGCUUAACCUGGGAACUGCGCUUGUGACUGCACAGCUAGAGUAUGGCAGAGGGGGGUGGAAUUUCACGUGUAGCAGUGAAAUGCGUAGAGAUGUGGAGGAACAUCGAUGGCGAAGGCAGCCCCCUGGGCCAAUACUGACGCUCAUGCACGAAAGCGUGGGGAGCAAACAGGAUUAGAUACCCCAGUAGUCCCUGUCUCUUAUAC